Long non-coding RNA from Bombus impatiens (common eastern bumble bee), 1091 nucleotides. RefSeq lists it as uncharacterized. The record is from RefSeq and is a predicted model, not a curated record. NCBI's taxonomy places the organism in Eukaryota, Metazoa, Arthropoda, Insecta, Hymenoptera, Apidae. The transcript has 2 exons.
GGUAUUAACUGUUCGUGUAGAAAAUAUUUCAAACAAAACUUCCCGCCUUAUAUUUAAAAAUUUCAAAGUUGAAGAGUCGUUUUGGAUUAUCGAUUGCGUAUCGAUAUUGUAAAUGAAUCGUAAUUCACGCUAUAAAUACAUAUCUGCCAAACCUGUAUUUUUGCAAAAAUUGUGCAACUAAUGUGUUAUUUUAUCUUUUAAAGAAUGCAGAUAAAUAAAGUACAAAGUUUCAACAAGUAUAUCAAUAAUCAAUGAAAGUUUUAAAUGUGUUGCCCGUUGAACACUAGUGUAUCACAAAUUUUUAACCUCUACGAAACGUAAAUAAUUCCUGGAGAAAAUUUUCGAAAAUAGUGAAUUCCACAUAAUUUGCUAGAAAUUAAACUAAGGUUGUUAAUUAUUACUGUAACGUAAAUCAUUAUCCUGUUUUGGAGGUUAACUUCCUUCGUAAGAGGUUGGAUUGGAUUAUGGAAACAGCAUUUUGAGAUUAUAAUUUUUAACUUCAUUCGCAACAAAUCAUUGGAAAGGAACAUUGAUAACAAAAAAUAUUGGUUUUUGUAUGAUCCCUACUAUUACGGAAACAAUGGCAUCAGAGACUUUUUUUGGAACUGGUGGAAUACUUCAUGGUGCCAUAAUGUUCAUGCUGAGAUUUACUUGGCAGUCAAGAUAUCGUUUACCGAUGCUUAUAAUUAUUAUAUUGAUUGCAAUAGAUUACAGACUUCAAUUAGCACUUGAAUUUGAUAUUAAUCCUGAACUAUAUAAUCAUUUGUGAUUAAGGAUUUAAGUUAUUUAUAGAUCACUUCUAGAUUAUAUUGUUAAACAAAGUUUUAAAUGCUCAUAGGAGGUAAUAAGAGAAGUAUUUUUCAAGAGAUUCAAGGAUGAAAGGGUAUAUAUUGUUGAUAUUUUUAUUUAUUUCUGUUGUAGUUUCAGAUUAGUAUAGAAUGACACUGCGUUGGAAUUGUAUAGGCUAAGGAAAUUUUUGACUGAUAUUAAUUAAUAUUUUCAAGUAUUUAUGUAUCAUAUUGUAAAGAGAGUAAUAUAUAGGUUUUACACAAUCAUUCAUUGGAAUGUAAAUUAUAUAUUUAAAUUAAUAA